ACGUACGCAACUUACCCAGAACUGGUGAAUAGCCCUCCGAAAGGAGGAUUAAUACACCGUAAGCUAAUUGGAUGGCAUCAUUUGAUUAGUAUAGCUCCGGCGGUUUUGGAUGGGCGUGCGCCUGAUUAGGUAGUUGGUGUAGGUAACGGCUCACCAAGCCAUCGAUCAGUAACUGGUGUGAGAGCACGACCAGUCACACGGGCACUGAGACACGGGCCCG
Molecule: ribosomal RNA, 220 nt
Filed under: uncultured bacterium
Lineage: Bacteria
Description: partial 16S ribosomal RNA
Rfam family: Bacterial small subunit ribosomal RNA
Source: RNAcentral